Molecule: RNase P RNA, 418 nt
Filed under: Candidatus Cloacimonas sp. 4484_140
Lineage: Bacteria; Pseudomonadati; Candidatus Cloacimonadota; Cloacimonadia (SeqCode); Cloacimonadales (SeqCode); Cloacimonadaceae (SeqCode)
Description: RNase P RNA component class A
Rfam family: Bacterial RNase P class A
About the family: Ribonuclease P (RNase P) is a ubiquitous endoribonuclease, found in archaea, bacteria and eukarya as well as chloroplasts and mitochondria. Its best characterised activity is the generation of mature 5'-ends of tRNAs by cleaving the 5'-leader elements of precursor-tRNAs.
Source: RNAcentral
GAAGAUAAUUAGACGAUCGCCCCCCGAUUUAUCGGGGGAAGGAAAGUCCGAACACCAGGAGCACAAUACUACGUAACACGUAGUUCCAGCGAUGGAAAGAAAGUGCCACAGAAAAUAAACCGCCCCGAUUUAUCGGGACAAGGGUGAAAAGGUGGUGUAAGAGACCACCAGUGCCGGUGGUGACAUCGGCAGAUCGGUAAACCUUAUUGGUGCAAGGUCAAAUAGAAGAGGAAUCCGCCAACUGGCGGAUACGAAUCGCUCCAUUCGUCAUACUCUCGGGUAGACCGCCAAACUCAAUCACAGAACGGACUGUGAGCUCUUCUUCGGAAAAGUGCUGUGAAGCUUGAGACAGAUAAAUGAUCGUCGUCCUGAACUUAUACUUCGGGAAACAGAAUUCGGCUUAUUAUUAUCUUCUGCA